RNAcentral lists this ribosomal RNA (510 nucleotides) under uncultured bacterium. RNAcentral's name for it is "partial 16S ribosomal RNA". It matches the Rfam family "Bacterial small subunit ribosomal RNA", at positions 28 to 507 of the family's 1533-position model. The record is from RNAcentral.
GACGAACGCUGGCGGCGUGCUUAACACAUGCAAGUCGAACGAAGAGCGAUGGAAGCUUGCUUCUAUCAAUCUUAGUGGCGAACGGGUGAGUAACGCGUAAUCAACCUGCCCUUCAGAGGGGGACAACAGUUGGAAACGACUGCUAAUACCGCAUACGAUCCAAUCUCGGCAUCGGGACUGGAUGAAAGGUGGCCUCUAUUUAUAAGCUAUCACUGAAGGAGGGGAUUGCGUCUGAUUAGCUAGUUGGAGGGGUAACGGCCCACCAAGGCGAUGAUCAGUAGCCGGUCUGAGAGGAUGAACGGCCACAUUGGGACUGAGACACGGCCCAGACUCCUACGGGAGGCAGCAGUGGGGAAUCUUCCGCAAUGGACGAAAGUCUGACGGAGCAACGCCGAGUGAGGGAUGACGGCCUUCGGGUUGUAAAGCUCGGUUAAUCGGGACGAAUGGUUCUUGUGCGAAUAGUGCGAGGAUUUGACGGUACCGGAAUAGAAAGCCACGGCUAACUACGUG